Molecule: long non-coding RNA, 261 nt
Filed under: Homo sapiens (human)
Lineage: Eukaryota; Metazoa; Chordata; Mammalia; Primates; Hominidae
Description: HSALNT0167750
Source: RNAcentral
GAGAUGGAACAUCCCUCUGGCUCAGUCCCUGAGUGAGGACAAGAUAGAGCAAAGCCUCCUAGCUGACUCAUAAUGGGGUAUGAGAAUCUAAGGUCUAUUUUUAAGCCUGGGGAAAAGGACAAUUGCAGAGAAAAGACCGAAAAUGUGAAAGAGAAAGAGAUGGUCUUGGUGAAGAUGGGUCAAGAUAGGCUUGUAAUAAACAUGAUGCCCUGAUAGUGCCUGGAGAUGCCCCUGGCCAGGCCAGAGAACACAACAUAUUAA